GAGUGAUCGGUUGUCGAUGAUGCAUUUGGUUUUGAUUUUAUUCUCUAUUUGGUUGAUGGGAAAGAGAAGGAGAAGCUGUAAAUUGGUUAGAAUUUGAAGUUGGAAGUUAGUUGACAGAUGAGAGAAAAGGAAACGAAAGAGGAAUAAUAAGUUAAUUAAUGUUUGGAUACUUUUGAAAUUGAUUUGAUUGCAGGGAAACUGAAGUGAAUUUCUGUGGUUUGUUAGGGAUUCAAAAUUGGAAAUUUAGAAUGUUAACGUAAUGAUAAAGAAAAGGAAAGAAAAUACAGAAAAGGGGAAAAAAAAAAGUCAAUUAGACUCUUUUGAAUCUAUAGAUGUUUGUAGAUCAUUUUUGUUGGGUGUGAACUAGCUUUUUUACUAUCUUUGGG
RNAcentral lists this unclassified non-coding RNA (386 nucleotides) under Hevea brasiliensis (rubber tree). Lineage: Eukaryota; Viridiplantae; Streptophyta; Magnoliopsida; Malpighiales; Euphorbiaceae. The record is from RNAcentral.